UCAAAUAAACUUUCAAAAAUUAAAUAUGACAAUUAAAAGUUGACGAAGGAGGUAUAAAAUGAAGGAAGUAAUAUAAAAGAAUACAACUUUUUAGGUAUAUUGAUUAGUGUGCCUUGAUUGUAUCGUAGACUUCAAUGUAUGCACACAUUUCAAUAUUUCCAUCUUUCUUUCGUUAUUUUUAAUUAAACAAAAUGGCAAUGGGCCAAUUUAUCGAAUAACAAAAAAAUGUAAACAAAAAGUUGGAGGAAAAUGUCAGGUAGU
Molecule: long non-coding RNA, 261 nt
Filed under: Solanum tuberosum (potato)
Lineage: Eukaryota; Viridiplantae; Streptophyta; Magnoliopsida; Solanales; Solanaceae
Description: long non-coding RNA (STUB_LNC000637)
Source: RNAcentral